Molecule: ribosomal RNA, 903 nt
Filed under: uncultured Sphaerochaeta sp.
Lineage: Bacteria; Pseudomonadati; Spirochaetota; Spirochaetia; Spirochaetales; Sphaerochaetaceae
Description: bacterial SSU rRNA
Rfam family: Bacterial small subunit ribosomal RNA
Source: RNAcentral
AGAGUUUGAUCCUGGCUCAGAACGAACGCUGGCGGCGCGUUUUAAGCAUGCAAGUCGAGCGGCAAGGGCCUUUGGGCCCCUAGAGCGGCGGACGGGUGAGUAACACGUGGACAAUCUGCCCCCCGGCCGGGGAUAGCCCAGGGAAACCUGGAUUAAUACCGGAUGAGACGGGACCCGCGGAGGCGGGAUCCGGGAAAGGCGCUGCGGCGCCGCCGGGGGAUGAGUCUGCGUCCCAUUAGCUAGACGGCGGGGUGAAGGCCCACCGUGGCGACGAUGGGUAGCCGGCCUGAGAGGGUGGACGGCCACAUUGGAACUGAGACACGGUCCAGACUCCUACGGGAGGCAGCAGCUAAGAAUCUUCCGCAAUGGGCGAAAGCCUGACGGAGCGACGCCGCGUGAACGAAGAAGGCCGUGAGGUUGUAAAGUUCUUUUCGGGAGGGGGAACAACCGUGGCAGGGAAUGGCCGCGGGAUGACGUGAAUCCCGGAAUAAGCCCCGGCUAACUACGUGCCAGCAGCCGCGGUAACACGUAGGGGGCGAGCGUUGUUCGGAAUCAUUGGGCGUAAAGGGCGUGCAGGCGGUCCUGCAAGUCCGGCGUGAAAGACCCCGGCCCAACCGGGGGGGCGCGCUGGAAACUGCAGGGCUUGAGUACAGGAGGGGAUGCCGGAAUUCCAGGUGUAGGGGUGAAAUCUGUAGAUAUCUGGAAGAACACCAAUGGCGAAGGCAGGCAUCUGGCCAUGUACUGACGCUGAGACGCGAAGGUGCGGGGAGCAAACAGGUUUAGAUACCCUGGUAGUCCGCACAGUAAACGAUGUGCACCAGGUGGCGGGGGGGUCGACCCCCGGUACCGUAGCCCACGCAUUAAGUGCACCGCCCGGGGAGUAUGCUCGCAAGGGUGAAACUC